This is a long non-coding RNA of Oncorhynchus tshawytscha (Chinook salmon), 377 nucleotides long. Lineage: Eukaryota; Metazoa; Chordata; Actinopteri; Salmoniformes; Salmonidae. The record is from Ensembl.
AGCCAUUACUGAUGGAGGUUAGUGGUCAGGGACCAGCCAUUACUGAUGGAGGGUAGUGGUCAGGGACCAGGGACCAGUUAUUACUGAUGGAGGUCAGUGGUCAGGGACCAGCCAUUACUGUUGGAGGUUAGUGGUCAGUGACCAGUCAUUAUUGAUGGAGGUUAGAGGUCAGGGACCAGGGACCAGUCAUUACUGAUGGAGGGUAGUGGUCAGGGACCAACCAUUACUGAUGGAGGUCAGUGGUCAGGGACCAGUCAUUACUGAUGGAGGGUAGUGGUCAGGGACCAACCAUUACUGAUGGAGAUUAGUGGUCAGGGACCAGUCAUUACUGAUGGAGGUUAGUGGUCAGGGACCAGGGACCAGACAUUACUGAUGGA